Non-coding RNA from Ceratotherium simum simum (southern white rhinoceros), 92 nucleotides. The record is from RefSeq and is a predicted model, not a curated record. Lineage: Eukaryota; Metazoa; Chordata; Mammalia; Perissodactyla; Rhinocerotidae.
AUUAGUGCUCCUAUAAAAGGGACUCCACAGAGCUCCCUGGCCCCUUCCACCAUGUGAGGAUACAAUGAGAAAAACUGUUUUUUGGAAGAGGA